GGAAUACUGAAGUGACUGUUAGUGGUUUUUCAUAUCGCUUAUGUAAAACGUUUUGCAUCAAAGCUUGGAAUAGGGAAGCCCUCCCCCGCUGAGUGAGGCCCUGUACACCUCUGUGCAGCACUCCCCUCUGCUGGAUGGAGUCAGGUCAAGGAAUGGGCCAGCCUGGUCUGCCAUUGCUCAGCACAUUUGAAGGUAUCUCGUCUUAGAAACAACUCAGAGAAACAGUGCCUACUAGACAGCUCAGGAGACUGUGAGGUGGCUUGGCCGAACCUUUUUGGAUACCUGUGGGUGCCGUUGACACAGCUCCAUUGUGUCUUGGGCUCUGCCACAUGCUGGCAGGUGUAAGGAUUAUGGACGGGAUGUCUCUGUGUCACCAGCUAAGUGCUUGAAGUUUUGUGACAUCAUUUCAGUGUAAAGGAAUUGCACCUACAUCCAUCUCAAGCAAAAGUCUUCCAUCUGGUGGACCAGCUUCUUCCUUGGUCAGUUAAGGAGAGAAUGGUGGCCUGGAUAUUCUGACCUAUGCCUGGGCCUGGAGGUCUGUAGCAGUAGGACUUGAUGCCUUCCUCCCAAGUCUUUGUGACUCUGGACACUCCCGUCAGGUCAGGGAGCUCCCCUGGAAGCAGGGUUGGGGAAGCCUAUGUGCCCUCAGCC
This 651-nucleotide long non-coding RNA is filed under the name Mus musculus (house mouse). RNAcentral's name for it is "ilncRNA-EC18". Lineage: Eukaryota; Metazoa; Chordata; Mammalia; Rodentia; Muridae. The record is from RNAcentral.